This 90-nucleotide transfer RNA is filed under the name Streptomyces cellostaticus. RNAcentral describes it as "tRNA-Glu". The record is from RNAcentral. Lineage: Bacteria; Bacillati; Actinomycetota; Actinomycetes; Kitasatosporales; Streptomycetaceae.
CCGCCGCGGUGGUCCGGGGCGGACGCGGAGGCUCUCGGCUUCCGGGGCUGUCAUGCUCGCACGUCUCCUGUUCGGCCCUGCCCCGACGGG